RNAcentral lists this ribosomal RNA (253 nucleotides) under uncultured Acidobacteriota bacterium. Its description in RNAcentral is "uncultured Acidobacteria bacterium partial 16S ribosomal RNA". It matches the Rfam family "Bacterial small subunit ribosomal RNA", at positions 524 to 776 of the family's 1533-position model. The record is from RNAcentral. Lineage: Bacteria; Pseudomonadati; Acidobacteriota.
UACGUAGGCAGCAAGCGUUGUUCGGAGUUACUGGGCGUAAAGAGUGCGUAGGCGGUUGACCAAGUCUGCUGUGAAAUCUCCCGGCUUAACUGGGAGGGUGCGGUGGAAACUGGUUGGCUUGAGUGUGGGAGAGGUAAGCGGAAUUCCUGGUGUAGCGGUGAAAUGCGUAGAUAUCAGGAGGAACACCGGUGGUGUAGACGGCUUACUGGACCACGACUGACGCUGAGGCACGAAAGCGUGGGUAGCAAACAGG